Molecule: ribosomal RNA, 400 nt
Filed under: uncultured euryarchaeote
Lineage: Archaea; Methanobacteriati; Methanobacteriota
Description: bacterial SSU rRNA
Rfam family: Archaeal small subunit ribosomal RNA
Source: RNAcentral
CCUUUACAAUGCACGAAAGUGUGAUAAGGGGAUUCCAAGUGCUCAUGUAAAACAUGGGCUUUUGCUAAGAGUAAGCAUCUUAGCGAAUAAGUGGUGGGAAAGACUGGUGCCAGCCGCCGCGGUAACACCAGCGCCACGAGUGGGGACCACGUUUAUUGGGCCUAAAGCGUCCGUAGCUGGUUUGUUAAAUCUUUUGUGAAAUCGUGAGGCUUAACCUUGCGGCUUGCAAGAGACACUGGCAGACUUGGAACCGGGAGGGGCAAGAGGUAUUCCAUGGGUAGCGGUAAAAUGUUAUAAUCCAUGGAGGACCACCUGUGGCGAAGGCGUCUUGCUAGAACGGAUUCGACAGUGAGGGACGAAAGCCAGGGGAGCGAUCCGGGGAUUAGAUACCCGGGGUAGU